RNAcentral lists this ribosomal RNA (916 nucleotides) under Escherichia coli. RNAcentral's name for it is "partial 23S ribosomal RNA". It matches the Rfam family "Bacterial large subunit ribosomal RNA", at positions 234 to 1191 of the family's 2925-position model. The record is from RNAcentral. Lineage: Bacteria; Pseudomonadati; Pseudomonadota; Gammaproteobacteria; Enterobacterales; Enterobacteriaceae.
AUUCCCCCAGUAGCGGCGAGCGAACGGGGAGCAGCCCAGAGCCUGAAUCAGUGUGUGUGUUAGUGGAAGCGUCUGGAAAGGCGCGCGAUACAGGGUGACAGCCCCGUACACAAAAAUGCACAUACUGUGAGCUCGAUGAGUAGGGCGGGACACGUGGUAUCCUGUCUGAAUAUGGGGGGACCAUCCUCCAAGGCUAAAUACUCCUGACUGACCGAUAGUGAACCAGUACCGUGAGGGAAAGGCGAAAAGAACCCCGGCGAGGGGAGUGAAAAAGAACCUGAAACCGUGUACGUACAAGCAGUGGGAGCCUCUUUAUGGGGUGACUGCGUACCUUUUGUAUAAUGGGUCAGCGACUUAUAUUCUGUAGCAAGGUUAACCGAAUAGGGGAGCCGAAGGGAAACCGAGUCUUAACUGGGCGUUAAGUUGCAGGGUAUAGACCCGAAACCCGGUGAUCUAGCCAUGGGCAGGUUGAAGGUUGGGUAACACUAACUGGAGGACCGAACCGACUAAUGUUGAAAAAUUAGCGGAUGACUUGUGGCUGGGGGUGAAAGGCCAAUCAAACCGGGAGAUAGCUGGUUCUCCCCGAAAGCUAUUUAGGUAGCGCCUCGUGAAUUCAUCUCCGGGGGUAGAGCACUGUUUCGGCAAGGGGGUCAUCCCGACUUACCAACCCGAUGCAAACUGCGAAUACCGGAGAAUGUUAUCACGGGAGACACACGGCGGGUGCUAACGUCCGUCGUGAAGAGGGAAACAACCCAGACCGCCAGCUAAGGUCCCAAAGUCAUGGUUAAGUGGGAAACGAUGUGGGAAGGCCCAGACAGCCAGGAUGUUGGCUUAGAAGCAGCCAUCAUUUAAAGAAAGCGUAAUAGCUCACUGGUCGAGUCGGCCUGCGCGGAAGAUGUAACGGGGCUAAACCAUG